UAACGACGUUAAAGUCAGGCUCACAGACGGCCUGUAUGACCCUUGCCUCUGCCUUUCCCUUUUCUCCUCCUAUCCCUAACGCAGCCGCCGCCGCCGCUCGGCUCUCCCUUGCCAAUGCACACAUGCACUCGCCGCCGCCGCUCGACUCUCCCCUCCCAAUGGCACCCCGUCGCUCACCAUCAAAUGUUUCCUCCCCUACAAGUGCAAGAUCGCCAAUGAGGUGGUAUAGCCAUCCGCCACACCUGCCACUGUCCCUUUGCCAUUUCUGGUCCUAGAUCUGUGUUACCUGCAUUUUUCUUUGCCACGGGAUCGGGAUGGUGGAGGAGCAGCUGGUGGGGAUUAGCAUCUUGCUUCAGAUAUCUAUUCUCGUGCUCUCGUUCAUGCUCAGAUAUUGAUGGCGCUGUUGGUGGACCCACCUGACAUCAAGAGGGAGAUGUAGAUGGAGAUGCAGCCCGCACCACCACCAUCUGCUGCGGCGUCGGCAUCGCAGACGGCGUGGCCACUGGAUUGGCCGGUGGACGGGCGCUCGCUCAAUCCUCCAUCGCCGCCCACUAUAUCAGUCCAGUAUGUGAGUCAUAUUGAUUUUAUAAUUGAUUUUAUGCGCCAGUUCUUGCCUCGACUAAUGGGUCCUCUUCCAUUUUGUAAUCACCUCUGCAUGUUUACUGUAUCACUUUGGUAAAUUACUAUUGUUCCAUGUUGUCUUCCACAACAUACUGCACUAGUUCAGUGGUUAGUUUCCUAUUCAACCAUUUCGUAAUGAAGGAGGUAUUGGUAUUUAGGUAAAUAUUUAUUUAUGAUUGUGCUGGUAUUAUCUCAAUAGGCUGGAAAAUUUUAAAUAACCUAAUAUGACAUAAACCUCAACUGCCCAUGCACUCUUAGUUGUUGUUUUGAACCGGUCUUUCGUUGUUUUUCUUUUCACCAAAAAAUAAAAUCUUGAUGAUGUGUGACACACCUGUUUGGUUAUAUCAUGUUAUCUAUGUAGUUCGGCCAAUUAAACUAUGUUAUCAGGUAUAACUAGAUGAGGCAAAUUAUAUAUAUAUAUAUAUAUAUAUAUAUAUAUAUAUAUAUAUAUAUAUAUAUAUAUAUAUAUAUAUAUAUAUGUAUAUAUAUCGAAAUAAAUUGUUUUAUGAAUAUCCAAAUAAACCAUAUAGUGUCGAAGCUGGGUACUUUCCAUUGCCAUCAUUAAUGGACAACAAUAUGCUACUAUCUCACAUAUAUUAUGAAAUGUUUCUACACGCAUGGAGCAUUUCUUGCAGUAGAGCGCUAGGUAUGCUCUCUAUGCCUACGAUGAUUUAUAUGAGGAUGACUUAGAUAAGGAGGUGGAUCACAUGUCAGUUUCGAGCAAGGUGAGUGCCAUGUUCUGCAUAGUAUUUUGUGCAGUUAUUUGAUUGAUUCACAUUUUCAAAUGAUCGGUUGAAACUCUGUUAUGCUUGACUAGACUGAAUCUAGAUUGUUUACUAAAAUUGGGCAUGUGUUUUAAUUGUAGUGGUUUGUAGCUAUCUGUCAUUGCACACUGAUUCAAGUGACAACGAUUUCUUUUCUGUGGAUGCAUUUUAGUAGGAUUGGCCACCAGGGUCGUGGAGUAUAUGUUGCCCAAUUUUAAUGAGGUCUGGUGGGAUAUCAUUACCUUAGAUAUCUUGAUAUGCAAAUAGUUUGGUGAGACAUUUGAAGAUAAUUGAUGUUCAUGUCACAAACAUUCAGUUACCUUGUUUAUAUUAAUGUGAUCUGCAAUAAGUUAGAAUUAAGCAGCCGACAUGUCCUCCGUUUGCUUGAUUUUAUACAGUUUCUUUACAUCAGAUAUAUAUCUAUUAGUCAGAAAGGAAAAUAAAAACUAAUACAUAUUUGACAUACUUCUGACAUCACAUUUUGUUUGACUAUACUAUUUAAUGUUAUGCCACUUGUCGAAUAUGCAUGGCCUUGGGAAUCCAAGAAGAAUUGUUGGCAUUUGUAACAUUAUUUGGUAAUGAUAGUUCUAUGCUUUCUACUUAAACAACAAUUAUUUUUGAUGCAGGUGUUUGGACUGGAAUGCGCACAGUCUGUUACUUUGAUGCAAAACGUAUGAAUUGGUUGGACAGAGCCGCCAACGAAGUACCAUGGGUAAGGAUGUGCUGGACAAUGAAAGCUUCUGUCUUGAAAUAAUAGGAUACAAGAAGCUUGCAAGUGGUUUUGUGAAGGCUUUUGUGAAUCACUUGAAUCAUUAGUUCUUUUAAGAAUGGUUUUGUAAAGCGUUAGCAAAUAUGUGUAAAACACAAUAAGAUGUGUGGCAAAUUCAGUGAUCUAGUUGUACAAUUUUUUGUGUUUAUGGGAUAUGUGGAUAUUUCAUUGUGGAAUGUUAAUGAAGUGUGUAUGUCUAUGUGAUUAUGUGUAUAAAAUAUAUGUUUUGUGGUGCUUUUGUGAUAA
Long non-coding RNA from Zea mays, 2400 nucleotides. RefSeq lists it as uncharacterized. The record is from RefSeq and is a predicted model, not a curated record. NCBI's taxonomy places the organism in Eukaryota, Viridiplantae, Streptophyta, Magnoliopsida, Poales, Poaceae. The transcript has 2 exons.